Molecule: long non-coding RNA, 4953 nt
Filed under: Elaeis guineensis (African oil palm)
Lineage: Eukaryota; Viridiplantae; Streptophyta; Magnoliopsida; Arecales; Arecaceae
Description: long non-coding RNA (EGUI_LNC011588)
Source: RNAcentral
UCUAUAAGAGAGUUCUUUUGUGAGAAUUCAACCUACUUUGUUAAGGGCAAAAGCUAUGUGGCUUUGGACGCUAGAGAUAAGACUAGGAUGACAAAUCAUGGUCCAAGAAAACCGUAUAUUAAAAGUAGGAAAGCUCAGUAGAGUUCUACGAUGAAAUUGUAUAUUAAAAGGAAUAGGAAAGCUAAGUAGAGUCUUACGAUAAUUGGGAGUAUUGAUCAUCAAAUUUAGGGACGUGAAAAGAAAUAAAAGGAGACGAGAAAAGAAAGAGAGAGGAGGGAAGAAGGGAACACAGGCUGCAAACAUGGAGGACACACCUGCAAGGAAUUUUUUGGAUUUACUGAAAAAAGAAAGAAGGGAAGGAAGAAGAAUGUGGUGUCUCUCGUGCUUUGGAGCUGUUUCAAGAUAUGGAUGAGAGAGAUGAAGACAGAAAGGAAGUUGAGGAAGAGUUGUUGUAUCCUCUACCACCUGCAAUAGUUCUUGUGCUGGAAACCUUGGGACUUGGUGAAGAAUGGAAAGAAGUGAGAGAAGAGAGGAAAGAAUUUGAGCAAGAGAAGAAGCAAGGGGAAGAAGAAGAAAAUGAUUUUUUCUUGAUCCAAGCACCUGAAGAGAAGAUUGAAGUGGACCUCUUGGAUGGGGAAGAGAAGAAAGAUGCAAAACAAGAGGAGAAGGAAGAAGAAGAAGAAGAAAAUGGCUGUCUUAAUCCAAAUGCCUAAAAAGGUGAUCAAACUGGAUCUCCUGGAUUCUAUUUUGGGAGAAGGGAGAGACAUGACAGAUAAGAAGAACUAAAGAGGAAAAAAUAAGUAAAGAAAGAAAAGAAAAAAAAAGACGAAGAUGAAGACGAGCAGAAGGUCCACAAAAAUUCAGGCCUUCGGCUUCUGGAAUAAUUCUGCAUGUUAUAGUUCAUGUUAGGUCAUGCAAGUUUUAGUGAGACUUGAGAUCAGUUCUUGGUUCUUGUUUGCUCAAAGAAAUUAGAUCUGAAUGCCAAAUAAAAAUCAUGGGAUUAUUUCUUUUCUUAGCGCCUUUUCUUAAGUUUCUCUUUCUAGUUAUUUUUUGUUGCUUUCAAUCCAUAUUCUGACUCACGAGAAAGAAUUGUAUUCUCAUCAAUAGCUAUAGUGUAGGAUCAUACGCUAAUUCUUAGACCCGAAAUCUAAUUCAGAUUGGAUCUUGAACUGAAACUUGGAUCCAAAAUCAGUGCAAAUCAAGCUUCUUAGAGACCUGGCACGACCCACUUGCAGCUCUACGUAGAGACUUGAAUCUAUUCGGGGGUAAAAAUACAUUGUCUACUUGAGUAGGGAAAACUGAAAAGUUUAAUAGAAACAUAUUAUUUUCUGAGUAAAAUAACAACAAAGUUGAUGAUCGUUUACGUAUAAUGAUAGGAAAUUUUUCUAAACUAUAACAAUAACUGCUAUUGUAGAACUUUAUGAAAUAUCCUACAAGCGUGUUGGGGGGAUUUCUGCACUGGCCAAAGACGUGAGACCUGGAAGGCUCCUGUGCUACAUUAUUCACCAUGUAUAUGCCCCCCUGGUGCCGACAAGUUGCUUUAAUUACCUUUCUCCCUUUGUCCCAUCCAUAGGCAUCACAACAGGAUAAAAAAGAAGAAGAGAAGGUGGUCAUAUAAACCUAAUAGAGACAUUAAUUGCUUCUCCUUUUCUCAUGCCAUUCUCCCGUAGGCAUUAUAAACAAGACAAGUAAGAGAGAGAAAAGAUGGUGGGAAGAGAGCAAGGAGAAGUUGAACCCAUAUCUGGCCUCCAUCCGCAGGUGCCUAAGCUCCCUACACUCGUUCAAUCCCACCUUGGCUUAUGAGCCCCUCGACGGUCUUGGCUCUUGUAUCGACUACCGAUCUUCCUUUGCUAAUAGGCUCCCUUUGAUCCUCUGGCCUCUGCAUCCUAAAAUCGACCUUCAUUGUCAGCUUCGGUCAUUGGCCUCUGUGAAGCCUUCUUCCUUCGGUUCUUGGUUCGAUCGAGGCAUCUAAUAAUUUCAGUCUCCAAAUGGCUGUCACGUCAGACCAUUAAAAAUAAUAGCUUGAUAUGAUAACUGCCAGAGGUCUUUUUACGGUCCUGUCAUAUUCUCUCAUUAAAAUAUGAGAAUGGCCAGAGGCAACACAAAGCUCUCUAACUAUUUUUGUCAACUCAUGCCAUUAAUAUACAUGGCCUUCACUUGCCAUAAAGAGAUAUGACCAGGCAUGAUUUUCAAGGAUAUUUAAUAGAGACAAAAUAUCUCUGACAACUUCUACUCUCUCACGACUCCAGCCUCCCAUAUAUAAAGAUAAAUAGGGACCUCUAAAGGUAUGCCUCCUCUCCUCCUCAAAAUUACUUGCUCUUUCCCUCCUAUUGUGAGGAAUUUGACUUGAAUAUCAGAGGAUCCCGGCUGGAGCCACUUCUGAUAAAGAUUUUUUUUGCAGAUCUGGCCAUCGUAGAUCCACUGGACGUCGCCUCACUCCAGCCCAGGAUGGAUUUUAUCUAUAAUAGAAUGGUGCUAGAGGAAGGGCAAGCCCAUCGAGGGGAAGAUGUGAGUGUUCAAAAGGAGGAACGUCAUCGCGCUGCUCCGAUGUCGAUCAGAUCCGGCUGUACACCUCCAAACUAGCUAGACAGUCCGAUCAAUCGUGAAUCGACUGAUGUUGAGUUUCGAUCGAAAAGAAAUUUCGAUAAAAAAAAAUGAUCUAAGCAAGGAAAGACGUUGUAGAAUCCAGAUAAAGAAUAAAAUUAUACAAAUCUCUAUUACACUGGAUUCCUAUUUUCUUGUCCAUACUCUUGAAUUUUUGGCAAGAUUAAAUAUUAGGAGGAAGACCCUUCGCACAUUCAUAACUCCAUUAUCUUCAGACAAGAUUCAGUUAGAGAGCUACAAUAAGGAGCUAGCUCAAAGCCUCGACUAUGCCCUGCUCGCCAUGCACACACUUCGAUUGGUCACUAUGGCUCUCUCCUUUACCACUCUUCCCGUUCUGUCAUGAGUGACGAGCAAACAAUAUUUUUGUAAGGUUAGCGGAGGAAAAUAAGAUCCUCACUUUUCAGUGGGGUGCUGAAGACCUCCCUGGCAUGUGACUUCGGACCAUAUAUCUCUGACUUCGAACCAUGACGAGGGGCCUUGUAAAUUAAUUUAGCCUUUGAACGGCCUCUCUAUCUCAUGCACACGUUCAACCUUGAGUGGUGCCAAGGCUGUUCGUAUGUGACCACAUAUGCGUCGAACCUUAGACUUCGGGUUGUGUUAAAACCCACGAGGGAUGACAUGCCACCUUAUCCCCUAUAUCUAAAUCAAUUUCUAGCUGCAUGUUAUCUAUUGGCAUGCAUUGAUUUCUCCCCUUAUCCCAUCACUUCAUAGGUGACAAUCAAAUAAAGACAAGAAAAAGGAAGAUAGUGGGGGAAGAAGAGAGGAAAUGGCUUCAACCGGCUCCUUCCGACCAUCUGCCACUUUCUGUAUAUGUAUACACGCACAUGUGCGGCCGAUGUCGAGAUCAGGGUUGGCAAAUCUGAAGCCUCCCUGGGUCCCUCGCACCCCAAGUCUUGGGAUGCUGCCGAAGCAGCCUCUCGCACGUGCCUUUGUGUGCACGCCCCCUUUUUUUCUAGAGCCAGAGUAGGGAGCUCCAGAGCUUCUUUGACCAGCAUCAUUUUCGGUGCCUCCCCCUCAAUCACUUCUACACUUUUUUUUUGACCGACACCUACCUUGUCAAAACUGGUAUUUACGGCACUGAAACGGUGGCGAGCAGCUCAGAAGCCAUCUGCAAGUUGCCCCGAGGCAUGCCACGCAUGCACACCCCGCUUCUAGUCGCAUUGGCGUUGCCCAUCCACAGUUUCGAACUGUUUUCUGUGUGGCCGAUCCUUGGUAGAGAAGUCGGAGCCACUUGCUACCCAAUCCUCCUUUGGGCGCUACUGAAGCCCGUCGGCUUACUUGAUCUCCACUGACUCUGGACCAACUUUGAUGCGAGACUAGCUGAAGCCCACAGCCAUACCGAUCCAUCCCGAUGUUGCCUCUUUUGUCCCUAUCUUUUUUGCGAGCGGGCCUAUAUAUGUCUUGCUAUUUGUUUAACGUAAAUAAUUUUCUCUCUUUCUUAUCAAAACAGGGAAGACUUUCUAAAAGACAUCAUGAAUGAGUCACUCGCAUUAUUUUUUAUGAUCAAAUGGUAGCAUUGCAUCAUUGCAUGUUCCCAGCUCGAUGGAGAUCCAUCAGAAUGCAUCAUUGCCGGUUUGGGGGUUGUAGGAAACCCCUUAGAUGAUCGUAUCGGAGCCUGUGAAGAUGCAGUGAAAUAGGAAACUGGUCUCAAUUUUGUGCAUGUAUGCUUUCAACAUCAACUAGAUAAAAGGUUUGAAGGUCUGGUCUCUAGCAAAACACUGUCAAAGCAUGUGAGCCAAAUAUAAAUUUUGCAAAUGCUAGACACAGGCCAGAUUAAUCAAAAUUUCCUCUAUAAGAGAGUCUUUUUGUGAGGAUUCAACCUACUUUGUUAAGGGCAAAAGCUACGUGGCUUUGGACACUAGAGAUAAGACUAAGAUGACAGACCACGGUCCAACGAAAUUGUAUAUUAAAAGGAGUAGGAAAGCUCAGUAGAGUCCUACGAUGAAACCGUAUAUUAAAAGGAGUAGGAAAGCUGAGUUGAGUCCUACGAUGAUUGGGAGUGCUGAUCAUCAAAUAUAGGGAUGUGAAAAGGAAUAAAAGGAGACGAGAACAGGGAGAGAGAGGAGGAGGGAAGAAGGGAACACAGGCCGCAAACAUGGAGGACACAAGGAGAUCGAAGGAAUUUAGCUUUUUCACUCAGACCUAUGAGAAAUUUUUUGGAUUUAUUGAAAAAAAGAAAGAAGGGAAGGAAGAAGAAUGUGGUGUCUCUCAUGCUUUGGAGCUGUUUCAAGAUAUGGAGGAGAGAGAUGAAGACAGAAAGGAAGUUGAGGAAGAAUCGUUGUAUCCUCUACCACCUACAAUAGUUCUUGUGCUAGAAACCUUGGGACUUGGUGAAGAAUGGAAAGAAGU